RNAcentral lists this unclassified non-coding RNA (200 nucleotides) under uncultured Coprinellus. Its description in RNAcentral is "sequence contains ITS2". Lineage: Eukaryota; Fungi; Basidiomycota; Agaricomycetes; Agaricales; Psathyrellaceae. The record is from RNAcentral.
UUAAGUUCAGCGGGUAGUCCUACCUGAUUUGAGGUCAAAUUGUCAAGGUAUUGUCCUUGCGGACGGUUAGAAGCGAGUCUGAACCUCGUCCACGGCGUAGAUAAUUAUCACACCAAUAGACGGAAGUUCAGUAUGAACUCGCUAAUGCAUUUCAGGGGAGCAGACCGCCGUGAGGCAGCCUGCACAAACCCCCACAUCCA